Penaeus monodon (black tiger shrimp) is the source of this 288-nucleotide long non-coding RNA. RefSeq lists it as uncharacterized. Lineage: Eukaryota; Metazoa; Arthropoda; Malacostraca; Decapoda; Penaeidae. The record is from RefSeq and is a predicted model, not a curated record. The transcript is spliced from 3 exons.
CAUUCCCUGAAGUGCUUGACUCCACUGACGCUGUCUGUGGCGCGGACCGGAAGUGGAGCACGGAAUGGCCUCUAUACUGUACCGUGUUGUGUUGGGACGAUCCUCUGCCUCCGCCAGAGUACAGUAAUUAUACAUGGGAUAAUUUCACGCGAACUGAAGGUUACAAAGUCAACUACACCUGUGAAGAGGACAGACUCUUCGGAAAUCUCCAAAGGACACUCGAGCUAGCGUGUGAAAACGACGGAAAAUGGAGCUUCGUCGCAAAGAAUGACUUCGCUUGUAGAAUUC